RNAcentral lists this ribosomal RNA (492 nucleotides) under uncultured bacterium. RNAcentral's name for it is "partial 16S ribosomal RNA". It matches the Rfam family "Bacterial small subunit ribosomal RNA", at positions 29 to 507 of the family's 1533-position model. The record is from RNAcentral.
AUUGAACGCUGGCGGCAUGCUUUACACAUGCAAGUCGAACGGUAACAGGCCUUCGGGUGCUGACGAGUGGCGAACGGGUGAGUAAUGCAUCGGAACGUGUCCAGAGGUGGGGGAUAACGCAGCGAAAGCUGUGCUAAUACCGCAUGUGAACUGAGGAUGAAAGCGGGGGACCAGGCAGCAAUGUUUGGCCUCGCGCCUUUGGAGCGGCCGAUGUCAGAGUAGGUAGUUGGUGGGGUAAAGGCCUACCAAGCCGACGAUCUGUAGCUGGUCUGAGAGGGCGACCGGCCACACUGGGACUGAGACACGGCCCAGAGUCCUACGGGAGGCAGCAGUGGGGAAUAUUGGACGAUGGGCGGAAGCCUGAUCCAGCAAUGCCGCGUGCAGGCAGAAGGCCUUCGGGUUGUAAACCGCUUUUGUACGGAACGAAAAGGCUCUGGCUAGUACCUGGGGCUGAUGACGGUACCGUAAGAAUAAGCACCGGCUAACUACGUG